Molecule: transfer RNA, 149 nt
Filed under: Candidatus Woesearchaeota archaeon
Lineage: Archaea; Nanobdellati; Candidatus Woesearchaeota
Description: tRNA-Ser
Rfam family: tRNA (bases 1-60)
Source: RNAcentral
GCGGCCGUGGCACAACCCGGUACUGCGCCGGUCUUGAAAACCGGUUUCCGCACGGCCGCGUAUAACUUUAAACCCGGAUUUGAAAAUCUGCGCAUCUGUUGAUGCUUGACUUGCUCAAGCUUCGCUUUUCGCAAGUCCGGGCGGCCGCG